UGAUUAGCUCAGUUGGUAGAGCGCACCCUUGGUAAGGGUGAGGUCCCCAGUUCGACUCUGGGUAUCAGCACCA
This 73-nucleotide transfer RNA is filed under the name Klebsiella pneumoniae. RNAcentral's name for it is "tRNA-Thr". It matches the Rfam family "tRNA". Rfam says of the family: Transfer RNA (tRNA) molecules are approximately 80 nucleotides in length. Lineage: Bacteria; Pseudomonadati; Pseudomonadota; Gammaproteobacteria; Enterobacterales; Enterobacteriaceae. The record is from RNAcentral.